GAAAUCAUCGACGAAGAUGUUACAAUGAACGACUUGGAAAACGUUCCUUUAUUUCUGUGCAUUUUCGACUUCUCGUAAGAAAUGAAUGUUAACAAUUGCGAAUGAAAAAAAUCGUAGCAGCUAGAUCUUCUUUAUGAUGAAAAAUGUGAAAAGAGCGGAGCUAAUUGGUCGGCGUAAAGCAGAAGAAAUAAGUUUGAAGCAGAAACAGGAGUUCACCAACUCGCAGCAGCACCGACGUAAUUACAGCGUUUAAAGCUACCGAAUGCUCACUGAAUUCCGCAAAGAAUACCUCGCAGCUGAAAAGUUUACCAUCCAUUGAUUUGCAACAAAAUUUCUCUCUUGUUAUUGCCGUCGGGUCAUCAAUUCUCCGGGUUGAACUUGAAGUUCAACCAUGUCUGAACGAGUCCGAGCCGUCAACUGUCUCAAACUUACGAAUCCCCGGCAUCGAGUUUAAUAAUUCAGGCUAAACUGAAACUUUUAAUGUCCCCUGGAACUUUACUUCCACCCGUACAUCUGUUUCAAGAGAAGCUGAAGAAGUUCUUGGUGGCAUCGAUCGUAGUUUAAGUCAGCCUGAAUAAAUUUGGGUAAAAUAUCGUGGCAGGAAAGAAAGUUUCGCAAUUUUGAACGUUGCAUGCAUCAAGUUUUUAACGUGAAGUAUCUUCAUACUUUUAUAUUAUCUAUAAUUCUUCGCACGCUUGACUCUUCUCAGUCUCUCGUUGCCACGAUCGAUCGUCUCCAUUUUAACACACGUUAUAUACGCAAUUUUAGGAUCGAUUUCCCGAAUUAUAAACAUUUCCAUUGGCUCCGAUCGUGGCUUGAAAAUAUUUCGACGACGCAGCAAGUGAAUCGACUCCUCCGGAGUCUCGUGGUGGCCGGCGCGCGGCCAUUGGCCGAACGAAUUCGUCAUCCGAUGGGACCGAGAGGGGCCUCUUUCGACGCAACGAAGAGAAACGAGCGAAGGAUGAUGGCUCUCGUCUUCCGUUCCUCGAGCCAGACGGCUGAUCCUCGCGAUGAACCGAACGUCGCGUCGCCGCUCCGAGAGAGAAUAUAUCCGAUAUCUUUGGAAUGGGACAUAGGUCCGAACGACGUGGCGGACAUGCCUGUACCUGUCUCCACGCAUCGAACUCUGCCUGCUCACCUGCAUUCCAUCAACCGGGGGGACCUUUCAGGAUAUCCAGGACCGUAUCGCGUCGGCGGAUCGUGAAACCGCCCCAUUCGGCGAUCGCCAUUGAUGCUCACGUUCAGUCCAUACGAGCAGACUUAAAGCAAUGCUUGAUCGUGCACCACUUGUAUUUUUUUUUUUUUUUUUUCUUUAUCAUUCCCUCGCGAGAAAGGAAUCUGAGAAGAAGUGAAAGAGAGGUGGCCGUCUGUGAGAAAACAUUGAGUAAAUAGAUGCUUCAAAAUUGAUAUACCGAAGCAGUUUAUCCCCGAGUCUGUAGAAUUAUAUCGUACGUUCAUUCGCUACGAGACAAUUUGUUUCCCCGUGAAAUUCAAAGUCAGUCGGCGGAAAAAAUUAGAUACGCCCCUAGUUGGCGAGUCGACGAGGGCGUAGGACGGUACACCGAAUCGGUUAGAAUCGGUAACGUAGUCGUACGAUGGGCGGUGAGAAGGAUACAGACGAGAGACGAAGCGAGAAGCAAAAGCAACGCUCGCUCUCGAGUACCACUUCAUUUCCCUGAUCCGCCCAAAAUCCAUUCGGAAUUCACGGUUUAAUUAUCGCUUAAGAGCAAUGAAAUUGCACGUCCGUUUCACCAAAGGUGUUUGCAUUUUAAAUAAUGACUAUUAUUUAAACACAAGGACUGUUUUAUUCUAUUAAAACAAUCAUGUUAAUACAAUCGUAUUGUCCAAAUUUGAACAACCGUUCCCUUUUUCCUGGAUCUUUGCUUUUUUUAUAGAGAGAAAUUCAAUU
This is a long non-coding RNA of Frieseomelitta varia, 1909 nucleotides long. RefSeq lists it as uncharacterized. The transcript is spliced from 3 exons. The record is from RefSeq and is a predicted model, not a curated record. Lineage: Eukaryota; Metazoa; Arthropoda; Insecta; Hymenoptera; Apidae.